RNAcentral lists this ribosomal RNA (392 nucleotides) under uncultured bacterium. Its description in RNAcentral is "partial 16S ribosomal RNA". It matches the Rfam family "Bacterial small subunit ribosomal RNA", at positions 523 to 918 of the family's 1533-position model. The record is from RNAcentral.
AUACGGAGGAUGCGAGCGUUAUCCGGAUUUAUUGGGUUUAAAGGGAGCGUAGGCGGGAGCUUAAGUCAGCGGUUAAAUGGUGCGGCUCAACCGUGCCCUGCCGUUGAAACUGGGUUUCUUGAGAGUGCAAGAGGCGGAUGGAAUUCAUGGUGUAGCGGUGAAAUGCUUAGAUAUCAUGAAGAACUCCGAUUGCGAAGGCAGUCCGCUGGGGCACGUCUGACGCUGAUGCUCGAAGGUGCGGGAAUCAAACAGGAUUAGAUACCCUGGUAGUCCUCACGGUAAACGAUGAUUACCCGCUGUCGGCGGCAGACAGUCGGCGGCCAAGCGAAAGCGAUAAGUAAUCCACCUGGGGAGUACGCCGGCAACGGUGAAACUCAAAGGAAUUGACGGGG